UACGUAGGGUGCGAGCGUUAAUCGGAAUUACUGGGCGUAAAGUGUGCGCAGGCGGCAGAGCAAGUCGAGUGUGAAAGCCCCGGGCUUAACUUGGGAAUUGCGCUCGAAACUACUUUGCUGGAGUGUGGCAGAGGAAGGUGGAAUUCCACGUGUAGCGGUGAAAUGCGUAGAGAUGUGGAGGAACACCAAUGGCGAAGGCAGCCUUCUGGGCCAACACUGACGCUCAUGCACGAAAGCGUGGGGAGCGAACGGG
RNAcentral lists this ribosomal RNA (253 nucleotides) under uncultured bacterium. Its description in RNAcentral is "partial 16S ribosomal RNA". It matches the Rfam family "Bacterial small subunit ribosomal RNA", at positions 524 to 776 of the family's 1533-position model. The record is from RNAcentral.